AUGACUAAGACUUGAGUCAGAAUAUUGACCUUCAGAAUAGGACUCCAAGACCCAGCUGCUUGUUUAUGUUGCCCCCAGAGGACAGGCAGAGCCCUGUUACUGCAGUGACUGGAAAUCAGAUGUGGGUUAGCAUUCCCUCCAUUUCUGUCCUGGCCCUCCCCUCCUGAAAAAGGAAGCACAGGUCUGAUUUGCUCAAGGCUGGGGGUAGGAAAAGGAAAGCCUUCCCAGGAGGUCUGCUGCUGAGCAAAGAAUCCCACAAGAUGCAGAUUUAGGCUCUGGCUACACCUGGGGUCCCAGGUCUACCCCACCCAGGUCCCUUCUGUAGCUGAGGCUAAGUACUGGUCACAUCCAUGUCUCUCUGCUAUCGGCCCUGGCCUGUCAUAGCAUUUUUCCGGAUUAAGCACUCAGAAACCAGUAAACAAACAGGGGAUCUAAUGUAGGUCUGUUCUUGGUUAUCAAAGGACCUAAUCUGAACAGGGUGUAAUAGAAAUCCCAGUCCAGGACUUUUCUCACGUGGGACUCAUUUCUUGACUCAGUGGGGCAAGCAGUGAGUGGAGGAGUUUUCACUAGGAAAGCCUGAAAGAUGUGAGCAAGGGACCUUUGGGAUGGUAUGAGACCAAAGUUAUGUUUUAAGUUUUAAUUAGUAUGUCCACAAGAUCCUUGAAACAAAAAUGCCUCUGACCUCUAAGCCCCUUGCCCGAGGACAGAUAGUUCCUGAAAUGCUGGAGGCUAUUGUUUAUGGGAGACAAUAAGUCAUGUGUUUGCACUCCCCUAAAGAAAGUCUAUUUGACUCAACUACACAGGGUAUGCUUGAUCACAUGUGGGCAGGAAGUAAAUAGGCUGGGAGUACAUCAGGAUAUAUGCUUGUCCUUGAUUGGACCUGAUGGGAAAUUUGGGCUUUGCCUUUUUAAGCCCCUGCUAACCAUGACUCAGGGUCAUUUACCUGGGAACCUGGAUAUGGACCCAGCCAGUGGCCAUUAACCUGAUGGCCACAUUCCUAUCGUGUCCUCACAUGACUGGAAGAGAGGAAGGAGGUCCUGGUUGAUGCCUCUUUCUAUAAGGAUGCUGGUCUCACCCUGGGGAGUCCACCUCAUGACCUCAUCAAGCCUCAUUACCUCCUAAAUACCACCAUUGACUGUGGCUUCAAUAGCAGUGUGUAAAUGGAAAAGAAGUGGGGAUGCCAGGCUAGCGACAGCACCUCAGCCAUCUGCAGAGCCUGGCGUCAGCCAACAGACUGCGUGAGAGCAUUCCCUGAGGGAAAGGUGCUGUGUCCAGCUGAGAGCAGAUGUCAACUGCUACAUAUUGAGGGAGAUGGCGAGACCCAGUAGGAAUGGUGACAGAGGCAGGCUAUCUGGGGGCAUUCCAGGCGGCCCCUUUCCCAGCUGUGCCACCUCCAACAAUUUACAUACCCCCCCACCCAUAAUGUACUUGUAUGAAAACACAGACACACACACACACACACACACACACA
Non-coding RNA from Cricetulus griseus (Chinese hamster), 1471 nucleotides. The record is from RefSeq and is a predicted model, not a curated record. NCBI's taxonomy places the organism in Eukaryota, Metazoa, Chordata, Mammalia, Rodentia, Cricetidae.